AUCGGAUUUCUAUUUCAACCCCUUCCCCAAACCGUCCUUGUUGCUCUUCUCGUCUUCCCCCUCUCCUCCCACCGCAUACAUUUCGUUUCCUCCAGCCAACCAAAAAGCACAGCGGGCGUCGCCAUGGGCGUUAUUGAGCUGGCGAACACGUGGGGGCAUCCUCCCGAAGGGAUCCUCGAGCACAUCUUCUCCUACCUCCCAUCCUAUGCCGACCGCGCGUCUUGCGCAUGCGUGUGCAGGCAGUGGUACUUCUACGCCAGGGAGAAGGAGAGCACGACCCCGCUGUUCCCGUGUCUUCUGAGGCCGUCCAUCAGCGGGGCCUCCUGCUUCCACUUGUUCAGCAGGACCUGCACGAGCAUGCCCACCGUCCCCGCCGCGCGCUUCUGCGGAUCCAUGGAGGGCCAGUGGUUCGUGGUCGCGCGUGACCAGUGGCGUGGGUACGCGCUGCUCCACCUCGCCUCCGGCACGCAGAUCCUGCUCCCGCAAGGCCUGCUGCAGGAAGACGGGGAUCGCUUCAACUUCAACGACCUCUGGGUCGGCCUCGAAUCAACCGACCUGAUCAUCCGUGCCGCGACCGCGUUCCGCGCGCCGCGUUAUCCGGACGGCGACGAGCACUACUUCGUCGCCGCCAUCACCCUCGGCGAGCACAGGGCCGCGGCAUGUCUGAGCGGGAAUGGGCGGUGGGCUCUACUGGAGCCGGACCAAGGCAUAAUAUGUCCAGACUUGGACAAGAUGCUGGUCAUGUACGAAGAGAUGGAGGACGUGAUCUACUACAGCUGCAGUGGACUAGAUGGCUUCUUCUUCCUUACGACUGAGGAGCAUCUUAUGGUGUUCUUACCGGAUGACGACGGGGAAGGCCACAUCACCGGCGAGGUGUUGGCCUACCUCUUCCGGGGCCAUACUAUGGCCUCGCCCCCGGAAGCCGGCCACGUGGUUGCUGCCCGGUACCUCGUGGAGUCGGAGGGUAGGCUGCUCAUGGUGAAGAGGUUCGUCAGUCCAUGUCAGGGGCAGCAGUCCACGGUGUCUUUCCAGGUCUUCACGCUCAUGUGGGACAACUGGAACCGGAAAGUCCCUCGCUGGGAGAAGUCCUCGCCCACCUCCGCCCCUCUGCUCGGGAAGAUGCUCUUCGUCGGCCGAGGCUGCUCCCGGGCCAUCGGAACCGGACGUACCGGCCCGGCCUUCAUCUACUUCUUGGACGACGCGGUUGCAUCGCCUUACGAGUUGCUGACCACUAUUAUCAGAACCGAGAAGGAGUACCGUUGCAGCGACAUGGGCUGGUGCCGCUAUGACCAGCAGUACAUUGGAAAGGACUGGCCCCAAGGGCCCCCGGCAGACUGCUCGCCAUGGAUUUGGCUCUACCGUUGAUCAAUUUAUGGUGGAGCAAUUCUUGGCAUAUCCAUAGUCUGAAACUAGUAGGAAAUGUUGAUGUCGAGGCACGAACGAUUCGAACCUACUACUGCUAGUAAGGUGGGUGCAUGAAACUUUAAUUGGUACUGAGUGCUCACUUCACUGAAUUUGUAGUUGCUGCUUUGCUGGAAAUGGAAGUAUCUGGUCUCAACUUCCUUUUGGCACUGGAAAUGAUCUCUGUGUGCACUCCAUUGUUUUCCUGA
Molecule: unclassified non-coding RNA, 1610 nt
Filed under: Zea mays
Lineage: Eukaryota; Viridiplantae; Streptophyta; Magnoliopsida; Poales; Poaceae
Description: misc RNA Zm00001eb309750
Source: RNAcentral